GGGGUAGUAGCUCAGAUGGGAGAGCGCAGCAAUCGCACUGCUGAGGUCAGGGGUUCGAUCCCCCUCUACUCCACCA
This 76-nucleotide transfer RNA is filed under the name Alphaproteobacteria bacterium. RNAcentral describes it as "tRNA-Ala". It matches the Rfam family "tRNA". From Rfam's summary of the family: Transfer RNA (tRNA) molecules are approximately 80 nucleotides in length. Their secondary structure includes four short double-helical elements and three loops (D, anti-codon, and T loops). Lineage: Bacteria; Pseudomonadati; Pseudomonadota; Alphaproteobacteria. The record is from RNAcentral.